UAACAAAUGGAAGGAAGCAGCCGACGCCUGAGGACAACAUGGCAAGAAGGAGCCUUUGGAUUCCGGACUGGCAUGGAAAGAGAGAUUGUGAACUCCUUGAAGGUUCGGACCGACAUGCAUCUGCCAGUACCAUGCACCUAACAUAGUGCCAAGAGCAUAGCAGACCCAAAAAGGAGGAGCUGGAAUUAAAGAGUCUUGCUCUGUCACCCAGGCCGGAGUGCAAUGGUGCGAUCUCAAGCUCACUGCAACCUCUGCACAGGUUCAAGUGGAGAAUGUGAAUCUUGAUGAUAUAGUUGGAACUCUUCAGCCAAGCCAUAUCUAACAGAACUAUCUUCAACUUUUCAGAAUUGCCAUUUUUUGAAGAUAUUGAGUGGCAAGAUGAUCAAGGAAGACGGGUGCAGUUCAGAAUCUCUAUUUUAUUUGGAGACAUCACUGUCAAGAAAAUUGCCUGCAUUUCACUGCCACCUUCAAGUGGGUGAGGGCAUAUAACAUAGUUCCUGCCAUUGGGAUUUUGAGUAUCAAAAAUAUACUUAUAAAAGAAGUAAAGAGAGUUCUCCUAUUUUUGUUUCACUGAAUGAAAAAAUCUGUUCAAUACAGGAAAUAAACUUUGAAGAUUUGGUAAAACUCACCUCUUUGGGUAAGUACUUGAUUGGCAUAGUAUUUAAUGAAUAGAUUUUUUUUUAACUGUAGAUUCAGUUCUUUUAAAGGGUAUAAAUAAAUAGA
Long non-coding RNA from Cercocebus atys (sooty mangabey), 723 nucleotides. RefSeq lists it as uncharacterized. The record is from RefSeq and is a predicted model, not a curated record. NCBI's taxonomy places the organism in Eukaryota, Metazoa, Chordata, Mammalia, Primates, Cercopithecidae. The transcript has 6 exons.